CCUACGGGAGGCAGCAGUGAGGAAUAUUGGUCAAUGGACGAGAGUCUGAACCAGCCAAGUAGCGUGAAGGAUGACUGCCCUAGGGGUUGUAAACUUCUUUUAUAUGGGAAUAAAAUGUACCACGUGUGGGUCUUUUUAUGUACCAUAUGAAUAAGGAUACGCUAACUCUGUGCCAGCAGCCGCUGUAAUACGGAGGAACCGAGCGGUAUCAGGAUUUAUUGGGUUUAAAGGGAGCGUAGGGUGAGUGUUAAGUCAGAUGUGAAAGUCUGCGGCUCAACCGUGAAAUUGCAGUUGAAACUGGCAGUCUUGAGUACAGUAGAGGUGGGCGGAAUUCGUGGUGUAGCGGUGAAAUGCUUAGAUAUCACGAAGAACUCCGAUUGCGAAGGCAGGUCACUGGACUGCAACUGACACUGAGGCUCGAAAGUGGGGGUAUCAAACAGGAUUAGAUACCCUAGUAGUC
This 460-nucleotide ribosomal RNA is filed under the name uncultured bacterium. RNAcentral's name for it is "partial 16S ribosomal RNA". It matches the Rfam family "Bacterial small subunit ribosomal RNA", at positions 338 to 795 of the family's 1533-position model. The record is from RNAcentral.